RNAcentral lists this long non-coding RNA (3162 nucleotides) under Glycine max (soybean). RNAcentral's name for it is "long non-coding RNA (GMAX_LNC001176)". Lineage: Eukaryota; Viridiplantae; Streptophyta; Magnoliopsida; Fabales; Fabaceae. The record is from RNAcentral.
ACUGACUUCACUUUUAGUGUUCGAUUCUGUGGCAUCAAGUUUGUGUGUGACAAAGGAUUGGACAAUACUUAGAUGUAAUUCUAUAGGUACUUUUGAAUUUGUUCUCUGAUCAUAAUUGAAGUUUCAUCUCUGUAAUUUCUAUGUAAACGUUUAGUACAGGAAUUAUUGAGAUGAAACUAUAAUUUUUAAUUGGAGAACACUAAAAACACCUACUGAAUACUAUAUGUAAGUUUUGUCCUUCAUGAAGUGGUAAUUAUAAUGUUGAGGGAUGACUGAAUAAAUUAUACAUGUGAUAGUGUCUUACAGAGAUUUUUUUUUUAAAAUUGAUUCACAGGCUCAGGGAGCUUCAUACUCUGAAAGGACAUGUUGAAUCAGUAGUGAAGCUGAAGGGACUUGACAUUGAUACAAUCCAACAGCAUUAUACAGUUUAAGGAAUUUGGACAACCUUCAAGCAGAACACACUUUGGUGCUUAUCCAAGAACAAGAACAACAAAUGUAAUGAAGACCUAAGUUAAUCCGUCUUUAGAUUAGGAUGAAGGUCCUUUUGUCAGUCAAAAUCUGAAUGGUUUACUCUUCUAUUCCAUACCAAAUAACGUGGUUGAUAGGAUUUACUUUUCGUCUUGUUUUGAGAAUGUUAAUGAUAUCUAGGUCACUUUAAGGCUCUAUAUAUAUAUUUUUUUUUUCUGAUGAAAAAACUCAAUAUAUUUCCGAUCUUGAUUAAUGUUGCUCAAUAAUGAGUUCAAUCUCCAUGUUUCUUUUUUGCAUUCGUUCAUGUUCAGCCUAAAAAAGAUGAGUGAGUGGUGGAAGCACCAACGUACACCUCACCAUUGAAAUUAAACAGAAAAAUUUAGUAUUUGAUAAUUUAAUGAGAGGAAAAUAAGAGUAGUAGUACAGUUAACCAUUGUGCUUGUUUCUCUUUUCUAUCUUUAAGUUUCUUAACCAAUGAGAGGAAAAAUGAAUGUUGUGUUGUUGGAUGAAAACAACUGGUUUCAGGAAGUUGAUAAAAUAUCUCUUCUUGCUCAUUAUUAUAAUUAGGUUCUUACUAAUUUAUUAAGGAAUUAAAAAGAAAAACUAUUUAGUGUGGGCUCUUGCUAUAUACAUCUCCUUUUUUCUAAGUAUACCCUUAUAUCCCCUUUCUACCUCUUAAUUACCCAUUAUACCCUUUUUCUUAAGAAGUACAUGGUGGUUACUGCAGCCGCAAUCUUCUCUGGUAAGCAUGAGCAAACCCCACUUAGUAUUCGCGCCUUCAUUCACUCUGAAAUCAGUUUUCUCUUAACGCUGUCGCUUACAAAACUUGAAUAAAAACAAACAGUGACUUUGCGGGAACGUGCGUUUGUUUCAAUUCAAUGGCGGGAGGUAAAGGGAAGAAGGAAAAGGGGAAGCUCCAGCAGCCGAAGCACAUGCCUUACCAGGGCGGAAUAUCGUUCCAGAAGUCAAAGGGUCAGCACAUUCUCACCCCUUGCUCGUCGACUCAAUUGUGCAGAUUCACUGAAGGAAGCAGAUACUAAAAUGGACUUCUCUAGUUUUGAUGAUGAUCAAGGUAUGGAGAUGGAUGAUGACAUGGAAGUUGAGGAUGGGGAAGCAGAUGAGGUGCAAUCUGAAUUCAAGGACAAGAUUUUGGGUGUUUUGAAAGAGGGAGAUUUUGCAGAGAAGAGGUCGUCCAAGCUCACAUUGCAGGAAUUCCUAUACUGUUUAACAAAGCUGGCAUACACUUCUCCUUAUUUUAGAUGGUCAAUUUUCUUGAUAGUUUAUUCCCUGUUUAAAUCUACACCAUUCUUUCAAAUUAGGCUUUCAUUAUUUGGCAGUUUUCUAAGAGAGUGGGAUCAGAUAAACUGUUAACGAUUUAUGUUGAGCUCAUUCAUGGAUGUAUACUACUCUAUAUAAUCUAUAGCAGGUUUGAUUAUGCGGUUGUUUUAUCGCUUUACGUGGAUCUGCAUUUGCAACUUACUGUGUGGUGUUUGCAAAUGGUUAAUGAUGCUAUCAUUUUCUCUUUUUGAUGCACCACCCUGAUUGAUAGUCUGAAUUGUGGUUUAAUGGUUGAGGCAUAUUACAAUACAGAAAAAAACCAAUAUUUAGUUACAUGAUGUUUUGUCACAAAGGUUAAAUUUAUAAUAUUUGGUGAUUUGUCAUUUGAGACAUACGAAAUUCUAAAGUAGAAUUAUAGACAUCUCUUAGACCUGUGUGCUUGUGCUGUUAUUGAUGGUAUUAUUAAAUGUUCACUAGCUCAACGGAGUGAACAUUAGACCCCCUUUGGCUUUCUUCAUGAUUGACAGGUGACAACUUUUCUAGCAGUAUAUGCUAAUUGGGGCUUUGCAAGAAUUCAGGGAAUGGGAUGGGGUUGGGCUGGUGUAAUCUGGCUCUACUGUGUAUUGACAUAUAUCCCUCUAGAUAUUCUCAAAUUCGCAAUCUGCUAUGUUCUGAGUGGGAAGGCUUGGAAUAAUCUUUUGGAGAACAAGGUAAUUUCUUCAUCUCCGUUAUUAUUUUAUUACAAAUUGCAUUGUUGAUCUUAAUUCAGAGACUUUAAAGUUCAAAACCUGUUUAUGACAGACUACCUUCACUACAAAGAGACUAUGGCAAAGAAGGGAGAGAAGCACAGUGGGCAACUGCACAGAGGACUCUUCAUGGUCUUCAGCCACCUGAAACAGCCAACCUUUUCAAUUACAAGAACAGUUACAGGGAGCUUUCAGAGAUUGCUGAGCAAGCUAAGAGACAUGCUGAGGAUGCUAGGUAAGCCACUGACUUCACUUUAACUGUUCUAUAGUAUGGCAUUAAGUUUGUGUGUGAAAGGAUUUCUAUAGGUACUUUUGAUUUUGUUCUCUAAUCGUAAUUGGAGUUUCAUCUCAGUAGUAAUUUGUAUGCAAACAUUUAUUACAGCAAUUUCUGAGAUGAAACUCUAAUUUUUAAUUGGAGAACACUAAAAGCACAUACUGAAUACUAUAUGUAAGUUUUGUCCUUCAAUUAUAAUGUUGAGGGAUGACUUAAUAAAUUAUACAUGUGAUAGUGUCUUACAGAGAUUUUUUAAAUUGGUUCACAUGCUCAGGGAGCUUCAUACUUUGAAAGGACAUGUUGAAUCAGUGAAGCUGAAGACAUUGAUACAAUCCAACAGCAUUAUAAAGUUUAAGGAGUUUGGACAACCUUCAAGCAGAACACACUUUGGUGCUU